CGCGCGCGCGAGCGAGAGGGCGAGAGGCCCAUCCGCGCAACGAAAGCGAAUGGCGGGACGCUCUCCCGCAGGGGGGGCGGCGCCGCCGGCCGGACGUCCUCGAGGCGGACCGAGCCGGAGCGCUCGCGUCGGGACCCCGAAAGGUGGUGAUCUAUCCGUGCGCGCGGCGAAGCCGGGGGAAACCCCGGUGGAGGCCCGUCGACGGUACUGACGUGCAAAUCGUUCGUCCGACGUGCGAAUAGGGGCGAAAAGACCAAUCGAACCUCCUAGUAGCUGGUUUCCGCCGAAAUUUCCCUCAGGAUAGCGGCCAUCGCGGAAACGUUUUGACCGGUUAGAGCGAACGACUAGAGGUACCGGGGCCGUAACGGCCUCGACCUAUUCUCGAACUCCGAACGGGCAAGGAGCCGGGGUCGCCCGAUCGGACCCCGGACGUGAAGUCGACGAUGGUCGGUGGGCUGGUUUUGGUAAGCAGAACGGGCGAUUCGGGAGUGAACCGGAAGCGGGGAGAAAGGGC
This 514-nucleotide ribosomal RNA is filed under the name uncultured eukaryote. Its description in RNAcentral is "eukaryotic LSU rRNA". It matches the Rfam family "Eukaryotic large subunit ribosomal RNA", at positions 679 to 1188 of the family's 3401-position model. The record is from RNAcentral.